Molecule: unclassified non-coding RNA, 226 nt
Filed under: Hevea brasiliensis (rubber tree)
Lineage: Eukaryota; Viridiplantae; Streptophyta; Magnoliopsida; Malpighiales; Euphorbiaceae
Source: RNAcentral
UGAUUCGGCAUUCAAAAAUAUUGAUCCUUUCAUUUCAUUGAAGAUUUAUCUGGACUUCACCGACUCGCCCAUGCAUCUAGCACUAUUAAUGGCUAAAAUCACCUCAUUACAGAAAUAAAGCAAUUUGCGUAAUGGUGCGCUCAGUUUACUUUAUCACUCUUGUAUUCUCUCAAUGCCAUCUGAUUUUCCUUUUAUUGUAGUAGCUUGCACCUUGCCACCAUCAAAA